GAGGGUAUAGCUCAAGUGGUAGAGCACAUGCUUAGCAUACACAGGGUCCUGGGUUCAAUCCCCAGUACCUCCU
Transfer RNA from Camelus ferus (Wild Bactrian camel), 73 nucleotides. It matches the Rfam family "tRNA". From Rfam's summary of the family: Transfer RNA (tRNA) molecules are approximately 80 nucleotides in length. Their secondary structure includes four short double-helical elements and three loops (D, anti-codon, and T loops). The record is from Rfam. NCBI's taxonomy places the organism in Eukaryota, Metazoa, Chordata, Mammalia, Artiodactyla, Camelidae.